CUUCGGCGGUGGGCCCGCGACUCUGGCACCAUGCUCCGGCUCCUGCGGUUGUUGCUUUUGCUGCUGCUGCCUCCCCCGGGGUCCCCCGAGCCUCCCGAGCCCCCGGGCCUGGCUCAGUUGUCACCGGGGUCGCCUCCCCAGGCCCCCGACUUGCUCUACGCGGACGGGCUGCGAGCCUACUCGGCCGGGGCUUGGGCGCCCGCAGUGGCGCUGCUGCGAGAGGCGCUGCGGAGCCGGGCGGCGCUGGGCCGCGCGCGCCAGGAGUGCGGGGCGAGCUGCGCGGCCGAGCCGGGCGCCGCGCUCCCCUCCCAGCUCCUCGGAGCCCCACAUCCUGUCUCCGGGCCCGGGGUCUGGGAACCGCUGCUCCUGCGCGCCACGCUCCGCCGCGCCGAGUGCCUGACCCAGUGCGCGGUGCGGAGGCUGGGCCCGGGGGGCGCGGCGCGGCUCCGCGUGGGGAGCGCGCUGCGGGAUGCCUUCCGCCGGCGGGAGCCUUACAACUACCUGCAGAGGGCCUACUACCAGUUGAAGAAGCUGGACCUGGCAGCUUCUGCAGCACACACCUUCUUUGUGGCAAACCCAACACACCUGCAGAUGCGGGAAGACAUGGCUAAGUACAGAAGGAUGUCUGCAAUCCGACCCCAGAGCUUCCGGGACCUGGUGACGCCCCUAUACUGGGUGAGGUCCUCAAUGCUGGCUGAAAUCUGCCAACUCCAGCCUGUGCAGUUUGAGCAUAUCUGGGUACCGCUCCUCGGUGGCGCUGGGCAGCUUAUGACACUGGCCUGGAGCUUCUGGAGCAACGGGAGGCAGCACUGGCUCUACCCCAACUAGAGGAGGCCCUGCAGGGGAGCCUGGCCCACAUGGAGAGCUGCCGUGCUGCCUGUGAGGGGCCUGAGGAGCACCAAGGGGCUGAAGAAGAGGGAGAAGGGAGCCAGGGAGGCCUGUAUGAAGCCAUUGCAGGACACUGGAUACGGGUUCUGCAGUGCAGGCAGCACUGUGUGGCAGACACGGCCACCCGUCCUGGUCGCAGCUUCCCUGUCCAGGACUUCCUCCUCAGCCAGCUGAGACGGCUGCACGAGGCGUAUGCUCAGGGUCAGCAUGGGAAGGAUGGAGCCUGGGAGUCAAGAUUUGUCUCUGAUGCCAUUCCCAGCCGCAUUUAUCUAUCUCUCCUGUCCCUCCGACUCUGCAUUGCUAAUUUCACUGUCAGGACCUCUGGGGACCUCAGCUUCAGGAUGGUGUCCUUUGGCACCAUUGUGCGAAGCUCAGGAGAUGGCUUACUGGCUCCUUCAGCUCUGGUUGCUUCUCCCUUCCCUCUCAUUUUCUCUCUGAUUCCUCUUCUUUGAACUCUGCCAUUGAAGUGGGGAACAUGUCUCAGGCCAUGGAAAAUGUCCUGAGUGUCCUGCUCUUCUACCCAGAGGAUGAGGCUGCCAAAAAGGCUCUGAACCAGUACCAAACUCAGUUGGGAGAGCCAAGACCUGACCUGGGACCACGAGAGGACAUCCAGCGGUUCAUCCUUCGCUCCCUCGGAGAGAAGAGACAGUUAUAUUACGCCAUGGAGCAUCUGGGCACUAGCUUCAAGGACCCGGAUUCUUGGACCCCGGAGGCUCUCAUCCCUAAGGCACUGAGAGAGAGGCUCAGGAUCAAGAGAAGAAGCCCUGGGACCAUCAGCCUCCACAGCAGAAGCCCUUGGCUCACUGGAAGGAUGCCCUUCUGAUGGAGGGUGUGACCCUCACGCAGGACGCCCAGCAGCUGAAUGGGUCGGAGCGAGCUGUCUUAGAUGGGCUGCUAACUUCAGCCGAGUGUGGGGUUCUGCUGCAGCUGGCCAAGGAUGCAGCACAGGCUGGAGCCAGGUCAGGCUACCGUGGCCGCCGCUCUCCUCAUAGUCCUCAUGAACGCUUUGAGGGGCUCACGGUGCUCAAGGCUGCUCAGCUGGCCCGGGCAGGGACUGUGGGCAGGCCAGGCGCUAAGCUGCUUCUGGAGGUAAGUGAGCGAGUGCGGACUUUGACCCAGGCCUACUUCUCCCCGGAACGGCCACUGCAUCUUUCCUUCACCCACCUGGUGUGCCGAAGUGCCAUAGAAGGUGAACAAGAGCAGCGUAUGGACCUGAGUCACCCGGUUCAUGCAGACAACUGUGUCCUGGACCCCGACACUGGCGAAUGCUGGCGGGAGCCCCCAGCCUACACCUAUCGAGACUAUAGUGGACUCCUCUACCUCAAUGAUGACUUCAAGGGAGGCGACCUGUUCUUCACGCAGCCCAACGCCCUCACUGUCACGGCUCAGGUCCGUCCUCGGUGUGGGCGCCUUGUGGCCUUCAGCUCUGGUGGUGAGAAUCCCCAUGGUGUAUGGGCUGUGACUCGGGGACGGCGCUGUGCCCUAGCACUGUGGCACACGUGGGCACCUGAGCACAGUGAACAGGAGUGGACAGAAGCCAAAGAGCUGCUGCAGGAGGAAGAGGAGGAAGAAGAGGAGGAAGACAUUCUCAGCAGAGACCCUUCCCCAGAACCCCCAAGUCACAAGCUUCAGCGAGUCCAGGAGAAAGCUGGGAAGCCCCGCCGGGUCCGGGUCCGAGAGGAACUGUGAAUGGCUGAGCCUGCUUCUCAGGAUCAGGCCACUCAACUUGGGAAGGAACUGAUGAGAAGGCUCUGGAGGAUAUCAGGAACAUAGUAGCAUGCCAAGUCUACCAUCUCGGGGACUUACAAGGGCUACCAGACCCUGGACUCACAAGCUUGCUACACAGACUUAGCCUACAGCACAUCAGGCCCGGGAGCCAGGUCUGGCCCCAGCUGAGGGACCUGCAAGGUCCCCAGGACAGACAAAAAUCACUAUGCCUCCCUGAAAGGCAGGCAUGUGGAGGAGUGCAGAGCAACUGCUUCUAAUAAGAAACACACAGAGGGGCUGGAGAGAUGGCUCAGCGGUUAAGAGCACUGACUGCUCUUCUGAGGUCCAGAGUUCAAAUCCCAGCAACCACAUGGUGGCUCACAACCAUCCGUAAUGAGAUCUGGCGCCCUCUUCUGGGGCGUCUGAGGACAGCAACAGUGUACUUACAUAUAAUAAAUAAAUAAAUCUUUAAAAAAAGAAAAAGAAAAGAAAAGAAACACACAGAGGAGACAGUCCCAUCCUCUCCCAACCUGUGCAAUAAAUAAUGAUCAUGAGGCUCUCCAGCCAA
RNA transcript from Mus musculus (house mouse), 3163 nucleotides. It is a transcript of the gene named prolyl 3-hydroxylase 3, with no coding region annotated. The transcript is spliced from 15 exons. Lineage: Eukaryota; Metazoa; Chordata; Mammalia; Rodentia; Muridae. The record is from RefSeq and is marked validated.